Molecule: unclassified non-coding RNA, 300 nt
Filed under: uncultured fungus
Lineage: Eukaryota; Fungi
Description: sequence contains 5.8S rRNA gene, ITS2
Rfam family: 5.8S ribosomal RNA (bases 1-72)
Source: RNAcentral
GUGAGUCAUCGAAUCUUUGAACGCACAUUGCACUUUAGGAGUCAAUUCUAAAGUAUACCUGUUUGAGUAUCAUUUACAAUUAUCCAAUUUUAUUGGGAUUUGAGGGUUAAGGGAGUACGCUGCCUUUCUCUUUAAAUGUAGUAGGGAACCAAGGAUAAGCGCGCUUAUUUCUUGAAUGAGGUUAUUUACUCUUGUAGUAAACUAAUCAGGAAAGAAUAAGAAAGCGGUUCUAUAAAAUUGGUCUCUUUAACCGAUCUCUGGCAACAGAGUCAACUUGUACAAUUGUGAUCUCAAAUCAGG